Long non-coding RNA from Trachemys scripta elegans, 4529 nucleotides. RefSeq lists it as uncharacterized. Lineage: Eukaryota; Metazoa; Chordata; Testudines; Emydidae. The record is from RefSeq and is a predicted model, not a curated record. The transcript has 8 exons.
UCUCUCUCUCCCCCCUUGAUUGAAAUUGUUUUUCUGGGAGGCUCAGUUAGCAGGAAGUUUGGACUUGUAGCCUGCUAGAGAUGGGGAGGACUAACAAUUGCAGUGUUAAUUGAAUGGAGGAAGAAGAAGAAGAGGGGAAGGGCAGUGUUGGACCUGAGUUGCUCCUUUGGAUACGCAAGGACUGGGGGAGGGAAAAGGGGGGGAGAGGCAGAGAGGAACCUGCUGCCGCUUGCUGGCUCUUUGUCUGCUCAGGGAACUUGAACAAAAGGAGAAACUCGGAUGAACUCUCCAUCUCUCUCUUCUCCUGGGUUAUCUAAUCUUCGGGAACUUUAUCCAGAGAGCAUUACCCAACUUCCUUCAAGCUCUCUCAGUACUUACAAAACAAACGGCCCCAUCGUGGCCUCAUAAGGAAUUCCCUCGAUUUCGUUUUCAGACUUUAAAGAAGAGAGAAGGUAAAGUGUGAUUGUCAGAGAAGCAUGAUGGCUGCCAAAACACCUUAUAGCAAUAGUUGCCAUAUUGCAUUUGCUCUUCAAAUGGUAGAAUACAGCUGUGGAUACUUUAGUGGGGAUUAACAGAGUACAAACACUGAAUGACUAAAGACAUCAAACAUCAUCAUUUGGAUUUAUAUAUCUAUUAAUAAACUGAUAAAACUGGUGGUAGUGGCUCUUGAAGAAAUCAGAAAAUAUGGAAGGUGCUGUUGAAAAUGGUCUGGUGAUCGCUUUGUGACAAUGAUCUUCUACAAUUAAAAUAAGGGAAUUGGCCAUAUCUCUUUCUUUCGCCUGGUUGCUGAAGCAUUGUCACAGGACAGCAAGGAUUGAUGAAUAUUCUCCAGGUAUGAGUCAUGUCAGUACAGUGAAAGAGGAGGAUUUAUGUUUCUGAAGUGGAAUUGUGUAUGUGAUCAAAGGAUUUACAUGCAGCUCUCUGUGCUGUAGUUCCUUCCUGCUCCAGGAGGGACACCUGGGGUGAUGUCUUCGAACGUGGCAAAGGGCCUCUAUCCGCAAGCUGGCAUUAAGAUACCAUCAUUGGUCUCUGCAGCAGCAGCUUUAGAUACCACUGUGAUGGGCAACCUUGAAAUACCCAGAGCGGCAAGCAGCAUACCACAUCUUCAUUUUUAGCUCUUUUCCAUACUCUGCUCUGUUUCCCUGGAUAGGAACGAGGCCCAGAAUUCAAGCCAGUCUUCCUAAGUGAGGGACCCGCUCAAAACUGCUCACUGAUGGACAGUAGGUCUUGCCUGUCACUCUUGCUGUUAUGGCAGGAGGUACUGCAAUGGUGACCAAGCUAUGUCCAGGUUAUGCCUUUCUUCAGAUACUAAGGACUGCAGUAUGGUGGGCUAGGAUCUGAAGUGAAAGCUCUGGACCAUUUUACAUAGCCAUUGAGAUAGCCAUUAGAUGGUGACAACUUUCAAACACAACUGACCUGAGUUGGAUUCAGUUAGGUGACCAACAGGAGAAAAGUUCCACCUUCCAUUACCAGUCAUUGAAGUCACCCCACCUCCUCCAUGCUUCGAGCUGCGCUGUUUGGAAGAAGCAACGUCGUCGUCUCUCACAGCUACGACGCGGCACUGCUCUCAGCAUAUCCUGCUUUUUCCCCCCAUUUACCUGGGCGGCUUCUGCUGUCUCUGUUGCUGCUGCUGGGGCUGCUGCAGUUUCGCUGCCUGUGCUUCACCCUGGCAUGUCUGAGUCGGGAAUCACUCGUCUGCACGCUGCUAAGGAAGAGCAGCGAUGGAACUCUGGCCACAUUUUUUUUUUCCUGUUGGUGCUGGAAGAGAAGGGUUGUGAUGUGGGGUGAGGGUUUUUUUGGAAGGGUGGGGACGUUAAUCCAAAGUGAGGUGGGAGAAAGUUUAAAGAAAUAUUACGCAAAAUAAUCCAGCACACGACAAGGGCAUCAGCAGCAAGAAUCCAGCCUCUGCUGCUCGAAAGGAUUAACAUGGGAAAAGCCACAGUGAUGCAGUAGUGUUUCACCUCAGCAUUGUGCUGGAGAUGGAUAAAUAAGGUAUCUGAUAUGUCCGCCUGUAAAGGCAAAGCUAUGGGAGGAAGAGAGCGAGAGAGCAAAUGAAAAGGAAGAAGAAACACUGGAUUCUGUUUGUCUGAUUCUGUGCAUUCUUAUUCUAGAGAUGGUUGCAUAAUUUACCAAACAAUGUAUGGACGGAGGGACUGUAAAUUGUAGUCUGAACACUCCCGACGCUGUCAGGGAGGGAACUGAUGGGCUAGGUGACUGCACUGACAUCCCCAGGGAAAACAGCCGUCAUGCAGUAUAUAUUUAUAUAUGUAUGUGUAUCUCUUGUGUGUCCAUGUGCAGACAUGAAAAAAGGCAUUUCUACCAAUUUACACAGGAAGUUUGUCACUUUGCUAGAUCAGACUUGAUUGCAGCUUAUAUUUUCAGCUACAGCUCUACACCCAUUUCCUGAAUCAGAAGGUGUUUUGUGAAAACAGACGUAUGCAGAAUUCUUUUAAGAAAUGUGAAAGCAGCUCCUUUUGAUUUAACACCUUGAAGCACUGAAUCUUCGGUACUGUGCUGAGAGGAGCUGUGUGGGUUUUGUUUUUUUCAUCUUAAAAUCUUUAUAAACACAGCUGUAUUCAGUAUGGUGAAAAAUUCUAUACUGUAAAUAGAAAUGCGAUCAAUCUAACCAAAAUAAAUGUAUCCCAGAUGACUGCUAGACCAGCUGGCUACCACAGUCUUCAGAUGGCUAAAUGCUCAACUGAGAUGGAUUCAGCAUUAUAUUUACUACUACUUUUUUUUAUUUCAAAAUCAGCCUAUAAUUAAAAAAAGAUUCUUGGUCCGGUUAAAAGAGGCAAUGCUCACAAUUGGCAGUGCAUCAUUCUGAAAUGGACACUGAUAUUUUUCAUUUCUGGACAUGCCUUUGGAAGAUUGUGUUUUUAGAACAGAUGGACUUGUCAUAAUACAGACAUACUUAGUAUGGUGAAAACUAGUAGACGGCUCAGGUUGGCCAUAUCCAUGUAAUGUGCAAAAUGAAGUUAAGGGAAACAAAUGCUGCACUCAACUAGUGGGGACUUGGUAUGAUUUUUAGCAACCCCCUACAGUGAGAGUUUUGGUUUUUUUUAAACACAAAUCCAAAACCCAUAAAGUCAUCUUAAAAUUUGUAUGAGGGGAUUUCCCAAUAGUCAUGGUGAGCUAUCCUGCAAGACGCCUGUCUGGGCCUUCCACUAUUUGUUACCAGGUCUACAAAGGCAGCCCUGUAUGUUGGAUUAUAUUUAGCCAGCUGUUGGAUAACAUUCCUGUGUUGUGGGCGGAGGAGUCUUAUUACUUCCAAACUGUAGUUAUCUGUUUAAAGGAAAAAUAGUUUUGGAAAAUACAUUGAGCUCAGCUGAGGAGUUGCACCUCUCCUGUACCUUUCUCAAAUGCUGUGUUUCCAACCCAGCCACUUUAAAACAAAACUGGGAGGAGGAAGAGAGACUUAACUCAUAGCUUCAAAGCUGCAGAGACAAGCAAAAUGUCAGCAGCUUGUAAUUAGCUGCUCAUGGUUAUGUCAGUGACUGUAUCUCUCCAAGAAUAACUGUGAUGCGUGCCACAAAGUAAGGAAGAUAGUCAUAACCUAGUUAUCAAGCCUGGUUCAAACAAGAGCAAAUGGAUUAAUGAAUCUGCUGUGUUCAUAAAUCAAAUAUGGAUGGAUUACAUAUAUAAGAUUUACUGAAUUCUGCAUAAUUGAAGGGUGAAUUAGGAACUUGUCAGAGGGCACGUUCGCUAAGUAAAAGUGUGAAUCCUUUUAAAAAUGCAGAUGAACUAUCCCUGAAAAUGUCUUUAAGGGCUCCAUCUAGUACAAGCAGCUGUGAGACACUGAAGCAUGCUACAAAGGAAAAAACCAAGAGACGCACGGAGGUGCUUAAAAGAAAGGGAGUAAUAAAACAAAGAAAGCAUGCUGAAAUUCUGUUUUGGCAUUACAGAUUUGAUACUAAAAUACCACCCCAGAGAAGACUUAUUGUGGUCUGAUGUGGUUUAAAUUGACUCCUCUGUUUGAGUGCAAAAAAAGAAAAAAGGUUUUGUGAGGCUCAGUGCAACAUCUUGGAGCCAAGCAGAGAGCAGAGUACCAGAAAUGCUUGCUUUUAAAGGGACAAGAUCAAUCCAUACUAGGAUCUUUCUAUACUCUGCAAUUAUUUUAGGUCUAUGCUGGCAAUUCAGCAACAUUUAAACAGUGAGAUUGUGGGGGGUACUUAAUCUGCUCUGAUUGGUCUUUUUCCACAUUGUUGCUGUAAAAUGUUUACAUGGCUUUUAUCCAUACACCUUACAACAUUCAGUUUGCAUUUCUGUUUGUGUUCAUGCUGCACAAUUGCUACAAGCCUGGUUUGUUUCCAUAUUCCCAGCAGAAGUCAGUUUCAGUUCAGCUAUGUUUAUUUAGCUCCUUAAUACACCAAGAUAGAUAGAUUGUAUUUUGCAAACACAGAUUUUUUUUUUUUUACUGUGAACACAAAUUUGUAGGAGGAGAUGACUGUAUAUUAAACCAAUAGCUCUUUGAAAUGCAUGUAAUAUAAUUUAAAUAUACUUAAUUUAAUUAAUAGAAGGUUACAAAAGCU